UACGUAGGGGGCAAGCGUUGUCCGGAAUUAUUGGGCGUAAAGAGCUCGUAGGCGGUUUGUCGCGUCUGCUGUGAAAACCUAAGGCUCAACCUUGGGCUUGCAGUGGGUACGCAGACUAGAGUGCGGUAGGGGUGACUGGAAUUCCUGGUGUAGCGGUGGAAUGCGCAGAUAUCAGGAGGAACACCGAUGGCGAAGGCAGGUCACUGGGCCGCAACUGACGCUGAGGAGCGAAAGCAUGGGGAGCGAACAGG
RNAcentral lists this ribosomal RNA (251 nucleotides) under uncultured bacterium. RNAcentral describes it as "partial 16S ribosomal RNA". It matches the Rfam family "Bacterial small subunit ribosomal RNA", at positions 524 to 776 of the family's 1533-position model. The record is from RNAcentral.